AGAGUUUGAUCAUGGCUCAGGAUGAACGCUAGCGGCAGGCUUAACACAUGCAAGUCGAGGGGCAGCACGGGUAGCAAUAUCUGGUGGCGACCGGCGCAAGGGUGCGUAACGCGUGAGCAACAUGCCCGUAUCAGGGGAAUAAUCCAGGGAAACUUGGUCUAAUACCCCAUAGUAAAUAUUAAAGGCAUCUUUAAUAUUUUAAAGCUUUGGUGGAUACGGAUUGGCUCGCGUGACAUUAGCUAGAUGGUAAGGUAACGGCUUACCAUGGCUACGAUGUCUAGGGGUUCUGAGAGGAAGAUCCCCCACACUGGAACUGAGACACGGUCCAGACUCCUACGGGAGGCAGCAGUGAGGAAUAUUGGACAAUGGAUGGAAAUCUGAUCCAGCCAUGCCGCGUGCAGGAAGACGGCCCUAUGGGUUGUAAACUGCUUUUAUAUGGGAGCAAUAAGACCUACGUGUAGGUUGAUGAGAGUACCAUAUGAAUAAGCACCGGCUAACUCCGUGCCAGCAGCCGCGGUAAUACGGAGGGUGCAAGCGUUAUCCGGAUUUAUUGGGUUUAAAGGGUGCGUAGGCGGUUUGAUAAGUCAGCGGUGAAAUAUUUCAGCUUAACUGGAAGGGUGCCGUUGAUACUGUCAGGCUUGAAUUUAGUUGCUGUGGGUGGAAUGUGUGGUGUAGCGGUGAAAUGCAUAGAUAUCACACAGAAUAUCGAUUGCGAAGGCAGCUCACAAAGCUAAUAUUGACGCUGAUGCACGAAAGUGUGGGGAUCAAACAGGAUUAGAUACCCUGGUAGUCCACACUGUAAACGAUGAUAACUCGCUGUCGGCGAUACAUAGUCGGUGGCCAAGCGAAAGCGAUAAGUUAUCCACCUGGGGAGUACGACCGCAAGGUUGAAACUCAAAGGAAUUGACGG
Molecule: ribosomal RNA, 910 nt
Filed under: uncultured bacterium
Lineage: Bacteria
Description: bacterial SSU rRNA
Rfam family: Bacterial small subunit ribosomal RNA
Source: RNAcentral